CCUACGGGAGGCAGCAGUGAGGAAUAUUGGUCAAUGGGAGAGAUCCUGAACCAGCCAAGCCGCGUGAGGGAAGACGGCCCUAUGGGUUGUAAACCUCUUUUGUCGGAGAACAAAACCCGGGACGUGUCCCGGACUGCGUGUAUCCGAAGAAAAAGCAUCGGCUAACUCCGUGCCAGCAGCCGCGGUAAUACGGAAGAUGCGAGCGUUAUCCGGAUUUAUUGGGUUUAAAGGGUGCGUAGGCGGUCCGUUAAGUCAGCGGUAAAAGUGCGGGGCUCAACCCCGUCGAGCCGUUGAAACUGGCAGACUUGAGUUGGCGAGGAGUACGCGGAAUGCGCGGUGUAGCGGUGAAAUGCAUAGAUAUCGCGCAGAACUCCGAUUGCGAAGGCAGCGUACCGGCGCCAGACUGACGCUGAGGCACGAAAGCGUGGGGAUCGAACAGGAUUAGAUACCCGGGUAGUC
Molecule: ribosomal RNA, 459 nt
Filed under: uncultured bacterium
Lineage: Bacteria
Description: partial 16S ribosomal RNA
Rfam family: Bacterial small subunit ribosomal RNA
Source: RNAcentral